AACCCAACAUGGUCUCUCUGCUCUUUAGAAGGCAAUUGGAAAAGAAGAAAGACAUUUAGGGGUCACAGAGAUGGCUCUGUGACAGUGGCCGAGGCUCCUGUUCUGGUGUCUUUUCACCCCAUCCUCAAAUCUGCUCAGGAAAGCUGAGCUAAUUACAAGUGGCCUGCUAGCAUUUAGUCAAUAAAUGGUUUGGCUCAGCAGACAGUUAAUGCAAUGCCAGAUCAAUAGGAACUCUGAAAAUUAUUUCUCCACUUCCUUGUAGGGCCAGGAGACGCCCAUGAAGGACAGAACGUCAGCCUUCAGUCAAGGAGUCCUGGAAUGUUCCGUUGUUCUAACAAGAAACAUUGAGAGGAAGCAAAUGUAAACAGUUCCAGGCUCCUUAUUGAUGUGAUGUCAGAUUUUCAUUUUCAAAUGGAAUAGGCUCUAGAAGGUUUUGCAAAAGCCCCAGUCUUCCUAAUCAAAGCACUUUUUUUUUUUUUUCCUGGAGGGAGCCUUAGAAAUGAGAACUAGGCUGUCAUCAAGAGCUAUUAGCUGAAACUGCGGCUUUUAGAAGAUGAUAGGUCAUUAUCUUUCAUAAUCUUAACAUAAUAAAGGAAAAAUUAAAAGAAGAUUGAAAGGUAAGAAGAAACAUUUUGGAGGAAAGACAUUAAGAUUUUGCUCUGCGUGACCUCCUAAUAAUUUAUAUGGAAGGCUAUUUGGUUUCAAGUUUAUGGCUAUAUUAGAGCGAACUGAAACUCCUCUCAUUAGUUUUAUGAUCUAAAAGAAACCUUACAGCCUGAUGUCCACCAUGACCUGGCUGCGUGGAACACAAUGGCACAGAUAGCAAAUGGGGAAUAAUAGGCUUCCUAAAACGAAUACUCCUUCCAGCCGGUUCGGAAAUCCAGGUGCGGGGAUACCGGCUGUUUCAAUUUGUGAGAAGUGAGAGAAGUGUCAAAUUCCAGAGCAUCGGAUUUCUUUCAUCCUCUGAUUAACCUCACACUGGUAACUGAGGCCGAUGUCUGUCGCCUUGCCAUCUGAGAGCGCCUCUUCUGAAUGUCAGAGGUGGAAAGACGUCUGUACCUCGGGAGCCGUUCAUGCUCUACUUCCUCCUUGGAACCUCCUGCCUCCUGGCAGCCCAGUCGCAUUUCCCCAGGGGGAAGCAAUCUGGAGCCAGAGAGUGGGUUUUUUCCUUUUUCCUUCUAUGUUUUUUAAAAGGAAAAUAAAAGACUACAGAAUCUCUCUCUGAAGAUAAAAGUAAAUUCAAUUACGCUGUCAUCAAUCCAGGAAAAAUUUAAGGACAGAUCUAUCAUUUCAUCCAAAUUUUCCAGGCGUGCUUUUUUUGUCCACCCCGCCCCCGCCCAUAGCUUUUUGUUCCCACAUUCUCUGUGUACAACCGUGAUGGAAUAUUGGCUCAUGGGGAAGUCAUUUCUCAGCAUUUCCCAUGUUUGUUUUUUCCAAAAUAUUCAAGAUAGUGGAACCGUAUAUUCCAGCAUAGGAAUGGUCUUUUGUGUCUGAUAAAUUUUCAGACAUAUGGAGUCACGUGACCAUACCCUCGUCAGCACAUCAAAGGUCUCUGUCAUGGAAGCCAGCUGUCCCGUGAGAGGACUGACCCCCAGCUUCACCGUUGCCUGUCACCUCUCAUGGCUUCCCAGCCUGUGUCCUCUGACCUCCGGCACUUGGGACAGGUCUCGAUGAUAGCCAAGUUUGUGUUCCUAUACACAGGGCUUUUUCUGUGCCUCAAUCACACUCUCUCAUACUUCCCCUGGCUUGUUCAUUCUUUUAAAAAUUUUUUAUAAAACUUUUAAUUUUUCAUUUACAGUUAUUACAAAAUAGUGGCUAUAUCUCCUGUGUUAUGCAAUACAUCCUUGAACCUGUCUUACACCCAAUAGUUCAUACCUCCUGCUUCCCCACCCCUAUAUUGCCCCUCCACCCCCUCCCCACUGAUAACUUGUUUGCUCUCUACACUUGCAGGUCUGCUUCUUUUAUAUUAUAUUCAGUAAUCUGUCCCAUUUCUUUAGAUUCCACAUAUCAUACAGUAUUUGUCUUUCUCUGAUCUAUUCUACUUCACAUAAUGCCCACCACGUCUAUACAUGCUGCUGCAAAUAGCAAGAUUUCAUUUUUAGGGCUGAAUAGUAUUCCAUUGUAUAUAUGUACCACAUCUUCUUUAUGGACAGUCAUCUCUUGAUGGACACUUAGGUUGCUCCCAUAUCUUAUCUAUUGUAUAUAGUGAUGCUAUGAACAUUGGGGUACAUGUAUCUUUUCAAAUUAGUGUUUUUGUGGGGGGGUUUUGGAUAUAUAUCCAGGAGUAGAAUUCUGAGUCACAUGGCAGGUCUUCAGUUUUUUGAGAAACCUCUCUACCGUUUUCCUCAGUGGCUGCACCAAUGUACAUUUCCACCAAGAGUGUACAAGUGUUUCCUUUUCUCCACGUCCUCGCCAGCAUUUGUAACUUGUGGUCUUUUUGAUGAUGGCCAUUUUGACAGAUGUGAGGUGAUAUCGCAUUGUGGUUUUGAUUUGCAUCUCCUGAUGAUCAGUGAUGCUGAGCCUCUUUUUGCAUGCCUGUUGCCCACCUGUGUGUCCUCUCAACAUCUCUCCAUUACAGCAAAGACUGUUCCUGUGCACAGGCCUUUUUUCAUGCCCCAAUCACUCUCUCUCACACAUCCUCCAGCUAGUUCUUGCUUAAGUCCAGUUCUCAGCUUUCAUAUCAUAUCCUUUUAAAGCCUGUCUGGCCCUCUUUCUGUGAAACUGAAGUCACGAUUCCUGUUAUCUUAGGAAAUUCUUCCUUGGUUUUUCCUUUACAACUCUCACUCUUUUUGUGCCUUUUUACUUAAUUUAGUUUGUCUCUUUCCCAACCUAGCAUGCAAGGACCAUGUAGUCUCAGACCAAACCUCUUUGUCCACUGCCUUAUCCAGGGCCUGGCCUGGUGCCCACGACAUGGCAGAUCCUUGGCAAAUAUUUGCAGACAGUUAAUUUUCCUCUAUCACCUAUGUGAAGGCUGUACUUCCCGGACGAACCAACACCCUCAGAACACUAUACCAGGAAGAGUGAGAGGCUGGCCAACAAUCUUUUGAUGUGCUUAAGCUGCUUUCUUCAAAAUAACUUUUUGGAUGAGUACAUUUUAAUAAUAAUUUUUCUAAGUGAUUGGAUAUGGACUUUCGCCAAAGGUACCAAAACCUCUUUUACAUCUUCUCUUUCAGGUAGGGCUAGUUCUGCUAUGAAUACUUUAUUCAUUCCCCUGUUGAUUAGAAUGGGGUUUUAAAUUCAUGAAAUAAUUUCUGAUCAAGUAAGUAAAAGUAAUGCAUUUAUACCACUUAUGUCCCACCUGUUAACCGGCCUGGCCAGACAAGACUAAGACUUGUGUCUUCUGCACCAAAUUUCCACCUUUCCUUCCUCGGUGGCUCCCUUCUUCUUUCCACUUCCCCCUGGUGUUCAGAUCAGUUGGGUAUUCUUCCUCUCUUAAUAUACAAAUUAGUCUUUGAAUGCAUCACUCACGCCAAAGAAUACAGAACUUGUUUGAAAAUCGUCGUCCCUUCUAAGGAUGUUUAGACUAUGGGAAUUAAAGAGACAUCAUGCAUUACAUAUGCAACCUCCUCGUUUGUGCCCUGAUUUGCAUUUUCACAUAUAAAUAUGAUAUUGCUCCCUCCUGUGGCAUCUUGCCCUUCCAGAAUCCUCUGCCCAGCAGAGCAGGGUCCUGGGACCUGGCUCCCUGCUGGGCUGCAUGCUGUGAACCCUUUGCCAUGCUCUGCCAAGCUCACGCUUGCCUCUGCACUGGGUCCAGACCUUGCCUUUUUGUGCCUUGCUGCUCCCUGGCCCAGUCCAGUAUGUCAACAGCCUGUGUACUUGUCUGUCUUUCCCCGGGACAGAGGAUAGAUUCUCAUUUGGCCACCUGUACCCCCAGGCCAGCCCAGGUAGGGCUUCACACAGGAUCAGUUCAAAAUCAACCCAGUGAAUGAAGGAAAAUAAGGAGAUGGAGGGCUAAGGAUAGAAUUUUGGGACCAAUCAGAAAAAAACAUGUAAUUAUUUUGAGGCUGAGGUGUUGAUUCCCCCACCCCAAACUGUACCUCCCGGGCAGCUGUGUAACUGCUCUGCUUUUGGUAACUUCACCUUGGUCUGGACAGUUUUUUUUUAGGAAUAUAUGUCACACGUGCUUGGAGGACAUUGACUAGGGUUAGUCCACUAAUCAAUCAUUAAGUAUAAUUUUUAUUAUCUGCUGUACACUCCACUAAAUAAGUAGUACUUAUAGACUCAGGAUAACUGUCUCUCUCCCCUGCCCCACCCACCCACCCACCCCAGAGACGGCCUCUGAAAGAAUCACUUCAUCUCCACUGUGCUUUCUGAAUGAAUCAGCCCAGUCAAGCCUGUCUCAGGGACUGGGAGCAAAGCUGGUUAUGGUCCCCCUCUGCUGUCUUGAAUGUAUUCCCUGCUUCUAUUGCUGUGCUUCCAGAUCUUCUCCUAUUGGACCUGAGUGAGCAAGUAGAUGAGCUGGAAGAAUGAGCAGAAGAUGAAUGUUUGCAAUUUUGUUGCACUCAUAGUCCAGUGAUGAGGAAAGAGCAUGGAGGUCCAGGAAGGCCUCUGAGUCAGGGGACCUGGUGACCACUGCAGCCCUGUGGCCUUCUGUGACCUUGGGCACAGCAGCUAAGCUGAUCAUAACAGGAGGAUUAGGCCUGACUGACUCACAGGGUUCUUAGGGGUCAUGGAGGAGAUAGCACAGUGCCCAUGAUUAGAUCUGGUUCAUGGUAUGUGCUCUGUCAUCAUUCAGUUCAACCCCCUAAAGGGGAUCCUUUGGUGGCAGAAGCCAUGAAUUCCCAAUUUAGCACAAAAUUUUCCAGAUUCCAGCAGACAUUUGGCACUGGACUUAUUUUCUCUAAGUUUCUUUUUUUCUUUCCCUUAACGGAGAUAAAAAUAGCUUUAUACAAAUUAAGCCUCCAUUCACAAAACCUCAAAAACCUCCUGGAAAACCUAUACCAUGACCGCCCCCACCUGAUGGGAGUGUGGGGUUUCUCCAGAAUACCUUUCUAGAAGCUAGCUAAAUUUCCAUCUGUCAGAUUUCAAACUGUAUUCUCCUCAGGCAAGAAUGUCAAGGGCUCCACCCACACCCACCCUCACACACACACAUAAACACAGUUGGAGCUCUACCUAGGCUGCACUCUUCAGAUUGCUGGCUCUACAUUUGAUUGAUAGUUUGAAUAUGGAAUUAUAGAUAGGAGGUGCCCUUCUCUUAGAAUUUUAAAGGCAUUGAUCCUUUCUUCAAAUAACACUGAGCAUAUUAAUGAUAAUUUUCUGGAAGUUUUCUUCUGAUCAGUACAUUUCUUCCAAGUUUCUUUUUAUUUGCUUAUUUUUAUUUUUAUCUUUCAUGUUAUUAGAUUUCCUCAAAUGUCUGGGGAUUCCUGGCUCUCUGUACUUAUUUUAAAAUGAACCAUUAAAAUGCUGGGUGGCUGGAGUUCCUGUCAUGGCUCAGCAGUUAACGAAUCUGACAAGGAACCAUGAUGUUGCAGGUUCCAUCCCUGGCCUUGCUCAGUGGGUUAAGGAUCCAGCGUUGCCAUGAGCUGUGGUAUAGGUCACAGAUGCGGCUCAGAUCUGGUGUUGCUGUGGCUCUGGUGUAGGCCAGCAGAAACAGCUCUGAUUAAACCCCUAGCUGGGAACCUCUAUCUACCACAGGUGCGGCC
Molecule: long non-coding RNA, 5642 nt
Filed under: Sus scrofa (pig)
Lineage: Eukaryota; Metazoa; Chordata; Mammalia; Artiodactyla; Suidae
Description: lncRNA (ENSSSCG00000052006.1)
Source: RNAcentral